UACAGAGGUCCCAAGCGUUGUUCGGAUUCAUUGGGCGUAAAGGGUGCGUAGGCGGCGCGGUAAGUCGGGUGUGAAAUCUCAGAGCUUAACUCCGAAACUGCAUUCGAUACUGCCGUGCUUGAGGACUGGAGAGGAGACUGGAAUUUACGGUGUAGCGGUGAAAUGCGUAGAUAUCGUAAGGAAGACCAGUGGCGAAGGCGGGUCUCUGGACAGUUCCUGACGCUGAGGCACGAAGGCCAGGGGAGCAAACGGG
RNAcentral lists this ribosomal RNA (253 nucleotides) under uncultured bacterium. Its description in RNAcentral is "partial 16S ribosomal RNA". It matches the Rfam family "Bacterial small subunit ribosomal RNA", at positions 524 to 776 of the family's 1533-position model. The record is from RNAcentral.